Molecule: ribosomal RNA, 687 nt
Filed under: uncultured bacterium
Lineage: Bacteria
Description: bacterial SSU rRNA
Rfam family: Bacterial small subunit ribosomal RNA
Source: RNAcentral
AACGCUAGCUACAGGCUUAACACAUGCAAGUCGAGGGGUAGCAGGGUAGCAAUACCGCUGACGACCGGCGCACGGGUGAGUAACACGUAUCCAACCUUCCCAUUACUCGGGGAUAGCCUUUCGAAAGAAAGAUUAAUACCCGAUAGUACUUUUUCGAGGCAUCUCGUAAAAAGUUAAAGAUUUAUUGGUAAUGGAUGGGGAUGCGUUCCAUUAGAUUGUUGGUGAGGUAACGGCUCACCAAGUCUUCGAUGGAUAGGGGUUCUGAGAGGAAGGUCCCCCACAUUGGUACUGAGACACGGACCAAACUCCUACGGGAGGCAGCAGUGAGGAAUAUUGGUCAAUGGGCGAGAGCCUGAACCAGCCAAGUAGCGUGAAGGAUGAAGGUCCUAUGGAUUGUAAACUUCUUUUAUAGUAGAAUAAAGUGAGCCACGUGUGGUUUUUUGUAUGUAUACUAUGAAUAAGGAUCGGCUAACUCCGUGCCAGCAGCCGCGGUAAUACGGAGGAUCCGAGCGUUAUCCGGAUUUAUUGGGUUUAAAGGGUGCGUAGGCGGAAUAAUAAGUCAGUUGUGAAAGUUUGCGGCUCAACCGUAAAAUUGCAGUUGAUACUGUUAUUCUUGAGUGUACAUAAGGUAGGCGGAAUUCGUGGUGUAGCGGCGAAAUGCUUAGAUAUCACGAAGAACUCCGAUUG